CAUGAACCAUUGAGGAGAAGAGUACGUUAAGGUAGUGUGUCAAGAGAGGGAGUGCCUGUGGCUGUAAGCACUUCUACAUACACUUAUCAGAAAGACAUCUCUUAGGUUUCUCGUCGAAAGCAAGUUUGUAAGUAGGCGUAGAACGUAGCAGGCGUUAACUGCUAGAGUGGAAGCUAGUUGCUUCAAUAAGGGUGGCAACGCGGGUAUAAUGAUGAAUCCCGUCCCUUUU
RNAcentral lists this non-coding RNA (229 nucleotides) under Pontibacillus halophilus. RNAcentral's name for it is "T-box sequence". It matches the Rfam family "T-box leader". Rfam says of the family: Uncharged tRNA acts as the effector for transcription antitermination of genes in the T-box leader family. T-boxes are found upstream of many aminoacyl-tRNA synthetase genes and some amino acid biosynthetic genes usually in Gram-positive bacteria. Lineage: Bacteria; Bacillati; Bacillota; Bacilli; Caryophanales; Bacillaceae. The record is from RNAcentral.